AGUCGAACGAUGAACCACUUCGGUGGGGAUUAGUGGCGAACGGGUGAGUAACACGUGGGCAAUCUGCCCUUCACUCUGGGACAAGCCCUGGAAACGGGGUCUAAUACCGGAUAGCACCUCCACUCGCAUGGGUGGGGGUUGAAAGCUCCGGCGGUGAAGGAUGAGCCCGCGGCCUAUCAGCUUGUUGGUGAGGUAGUGGCUCACCAAGGCGACGACGGGUAGCCGGCCUGAGAGGGCGACCGGCCACACUGGGACUGAGACACGGCCCAGACUCCUACGGGAGGCAGCAGUGGGGAAUAUUGCACAAUGGGCGAAAGCCUGAUGCAGCGACGCCGCGUGAGGGAUGACGGCCUUCGGGUUGUAAACCUCUUUCAGCAGGGAAGAAGCGAAAGUGACGGUACCUGCAGAAGAAGCGCCGGCUAACUACGUGCCAGCAGCCGCGGUAAUACGUAGGGCGCAAGCGUUGUCCGGAAUUAUUGGGCGUAAAGAGCUCGUAGGCGGCUUGUCACGUCGGGUGUGAAAGCCCGGGGCUUAACCCCGGGUCUGCAUUCGAUACGGACUAGCUAGAGUGUGGUANGGGGANAUUCNGAAAUUCCUGGUGUUANCGGGUGAAAUGCGCAAAUUUCAGGANGAACACCGGUUGGCGAANGCGGAUCUCUGGGCCAUUACUGACGCUUANGAGCGAAAGCGUGGGGAGCGAACAGGAUUAGAUACCCUGGUAGUCCACGCCGUAAACGGUGGGAACUAGGUGUUGGCGACAUUCCACGUCGUCGGUGCCGCAGCUAACGCAUUAAGUUCCCCGCCUGGGGGAGUUCGGCCGCAAGGCU
Molecule: ribosomal RNA, 827 nt
Filed under: uncultured Streptomyces sp.
Lineage: Bacteria; Bacillati; Actinomycetota; Actinomycetes; Kitasatosporales; Streptomycetaceae
Description: bacterial SSU rRNA
Rfam family: Bacterial small subunit ribosomal RNA
Source: RNAcentral